UACGAAGGGGGCUAGCGUUGCUCGGAAUUACUGGGCGUAAAGCGCACGUAGGCGGUCUUUUAAGUCGGGGGUGAAAUCCUGGAGCUCAACUCCAGAACUGCCUUCGAUACUGGAAGACUUGAGUCCGGGAGAGGUGAGUGGAACUGCGAGUGUAGAGGUGAAAUUCGUAGAUAUUCGCAAGAACACCAGUGGCGAAGGCGGCUCACUGGCCCGGUACUGACGCUGAGGUACGAAAGCGUGGGGAGCAAACAGG
RNAcentral lists this ribosomal RNA (253 nucleotides) under uncultured bacterium. Its description in RNAcentral is "partial 16S ribosomal RNA". It matches the Rfam family "Bacterial small subunit ribosomal RNA", at positions 524 to 776 of the family's 1533-position model. The record is from RNAcentral.